AUGAAUGUGAAAAAUUCCUGCCAGGUUGGAGCGUUCUUGGUGUGGUGUCUUCUGGUAGCAGUACCUCAGCAGGGAGAAUGGCUGGGACUGCACAGAGCUGAGUCCUGCUGGUCUGUUCCCUCAUCAUUGCUGAGCUUGUGGGAUUCAGAUGGGAGUCUGGCUCCAGAGCAGAGUGGUUAUCUCUACGAAAAUGUCAUUGCUGGGACUCAGAUCCUGAAGCACCCUCCAGCCCCAUACCCCUCAGAAGGUGAUGUACAAACUGCACCGAGGCACCUGGUACCUUACAGUAUUGGCAAGUUUUCCCUGGCACUCUUGUGGGCACAUGUCAGGGAUACUGAAGACUUUCCAUCUUGA
Anser brachyrhynchus (Pink-footed goose) is the source of this 354-nucleotide long non-coding RNA. NCBI's taxonomy places the organism in Eukaryota, Metazoa, Chordata, Aves, Anseriformes, Anatidae. The record is from Ensembl.